This 460-nucleotide ribosomal RNA is filed under the name uncultured bacterium. RNAcentral's name for it is "partial 16S ribosomal RNA". It matches the Rfam family "Bacterial small subunit ribosomal RNA", at positions 338 to 795 of the family's 1533-position model. The record is from RNAcentral.
CCUACGGGAGGCAGCAGUGAGGAAUAUUGGUCAAUGGGCGCGAGCCUGAACCAGCCAAGUAGCGUGAAGGAUGACUGCCCUACGGGUUGUAAACUUCUUUUAUAAAGGAAUAAAGUGAGGCACGUGUGCCUUUUUGUAUGUACUUUAUGAAUAAGGAUCGGCUAACUCCGUGCCAGCAGCCGCGGUAAUACGGAGGAUCCGAGCGUUAUCCGGAUUUAUUGGGUUUAAAGGGAGCGUAGAUGGGUUGUUAAGUCAGUUGUGAAAGUUUGCGGCUCAACCGUAAAAUUGCAAUUGAUACUGGCAGCCUUGAGUACAGUUGGGGUAGGCGGAAUUCGUGGUGUAGCGGUGAAAUGCUUAGAUAUCACGAAGAACUCCGAUUGCGAAGGCAGCUUACUGGACUGCAACUGACACUGAGGCUCGAAGGUGUGGGUAUCAAACGGGAUUAGAUACCCGAGUAGUC